GAGACAGCUUUGGAAACUGAAACCCAGUGUCUAUCCACAGAUUGGAUAUGGUAUAGGUAGCUGCAGUAAAAGCUUUCCUACAAUGAUUUUCCAGUGUUCCCCAGCGCAGUGUGGAGGGACCACCUUGAUAAUAAUGCAACUUCCUUGUCUAGUCAAUUUCUGGUAUCC
Molecule: small RNA, 168 nt
Filed under: Chelonoidis abingdonii (Abingdon island giant tortoise)
Lineage: Eukaryota; Metazoa; Chordata; Testudines; Testudinidae
Description: TUC338 (ENSCABG00000007010.1)
Source: RNAcentral